Molecule: ribosomal RNA, 484 nt
Filed under: uncultured bacterium
Lineage: Bacteria
Description: bacterial SSU rRNA
Rfam family: Bacterial small subunit ribosomal RNA
Source: RNAcentral
GAUAAACGCUAGCGGCGCGCCUAAUGCAUGCAAGUCGAGCGAUGAGGUCCUACGGGGCCAUCAGCGGCAGACGGGUGAGUAACACAUGGGUAACCUACCUUCAAGCCGGGGAUAACGGAUGGAAACGUUCGCUAAUACCCGAUGCAUACGCUUAAGAGGAGACUAUAGGCGUAGAAAGUUACGGCGCUUGAAGAGGGGCCUGUGGCCCAUCAGUUAGUUGGUAGGGUAACGGCCUACCAAGGCGAAGACGGGUAGGGGUGUGAGAGCACGGCCCCCCACAAUGGGACUGAGAGACGGCCCAUACUCUUACGGGAGGCAGCAGCAGGGAAUCUUGCGCAAUGGACGGCAGUCCGACGCAGCGACGCCGCGUGGGUGAAGACGGCCUUCGGGUUGUAAAGCCCUUUUCUGGGGAAGAGAUAGGACGGUACUCCAGGAAUAAGUGUCGGCUAACUACGUGCCAGCAGCCGCGGUAAGACGUAGCGUG